Long non-coding RNA from Drosophila innubila, 850 nucleotides. RefSeq lists it as uncharacterized. Lineage: Eukaryota; Metazoa; Arthropoda; Insecta; Diptera; Drosophilidae. The record is from RefSeq and is a predicted model, not a curated record. The transcript has 2 exons.
UUUUGCCUGUGCAUUCUGGCUGCUUCCGCAUGUGCGUGUGUGUGAGUGUGUUUAUGCAUCUGUGUGCGCGCUUUGCUUUGGGGUCGGUAGGUCGUUUUGUAGCGCGCGACAUAUUGUCGCUUGCAUGCAUUCCGCCACACAACACACAAACACACGCACGCACCCUUACACAAUCGCAAUAGUGCGAAUGUGUAUGUGUGUGUGUGGUUCUCCCCCACUGCCGACGUAGGACAAGGCAGAGAAAAGCAACAACGCAAGUUCCUUUAAUUCUGUUGCUGCCAGAAAAAGGCGCGCGUUCGCUUUUGUUUUGCAAGCUUCACCAUUUUAUAAAUUGACGCCAGGCAGCCACAUUACAUUAGCUGACGCCACCAGCGCCAAUCAUCGUCAUUCUCUCGCCCGCCGUUGCUGCUGACGCUCUGAUUCUGCUGCUGCCGCUGCUCUGCUUUGUCGCUGCUUCUGCUUGUGGCUGUCCGCUGUCGGCUGUCGUUGGCAUCCUCAGUGCUCCCCAGUGCGUGUUCGUCGUUGCAGCAUUUAUGUAGUUGGCCUGGCUGGCUUCAUUUUCAUUUUGUUUAAUUCUCAUUUCUGUUUGUGUUUAUUCGACUGCAGAUAAUCAAAUUUAUAUUGUGCAUGCAAAUAAUAUGUGAAACACACAAAAUAAUGCCAAAAGAAUACGAUCGCUGCUAAGAGUUAAUAGCUACAUUGUUGUAGUUGUUGAUUUAGUGGUCUUGUAAUUCUCGAAUAUAUGUAUAAAAAAAAUCGAAGAAAGUCGUCAGCGAAACAAGCUUCAUGAUACCCGUUCGAAAUGAGCACAGCGUAUAAAAGAAAGAAAGAAAGAAAAAAAAAGCGUAAC